This 233-nucleotide ribosomal RNA is filed under the name uncultured bacterium. RNAcentral's name for it is "partial 16S ribosomal RNA". It matches the Rfam family "Bacterial small subunit ribosomal RNA", at positions 118 to 347 of the family's 1533-position model. The record is from RNAcentral.
UGAGCAAUCUGCCCUUCUCAUCGGAAUAAGCGUUGGAAACGACGUCUAAUGCCGAAUACGACCUCCUUUCGCAUGAUCGGAGGUGGAAAGCUCCGGCGGAGAAGGAUGAGCUCGCGGCCUAUCAGCUAGUUGGUGUGGGUAAUGGCCCACCAAGGCGACGACGGGUAGCCGGCCUGAGAGGGUGACCGGCCACACGUGGGACUGAGACACGGCCCAGACUCCUACGGGAGCAG